AGCAGCCGCGGUAAUUCCAGCUCCAAUAGCGUAUAUUAAAGUUGUUGCAGUUAAAAAGCUCGUAGUUGAAUUUCGGGGUCAGCAAGUUGGUCGUGCCACUGGUAUGCACUGGCUUUACUGGUUCCUCCUUCUUGAAGAACUGUAAUGCUAUUAAUUUAGUGUUGCAGGGAAACAGGACUGUUACUUUGAAAAAUUAGAGUGUUUAAAGCUGGCUAACGCUUGAAUACAUUAGCAUGGAAUAAUGAAAUAGGACGUUUGAUCCUAUUUUGUUGGUUUCUAGGAUUGACGUAAUGAUUAAUAGGGAUAGUUGGGGGCAUUAGUAUUCAAUUGUCAGAGGUGAAAUUCUUGGAUUUAUUGAAGACUAACUACUGCGAAAGCAUUUGCCAAGGAUGUUUU
RNAcentral lists this ribosomal RNA (396 nucleotides) under uncultured Glomus. RNAcentral's name for it is "SSU rRNA". It matches the Rfam family "Eukaryotic small subunit ribosomal RNA", at positions 569 to 970 of the family's 1831-position model. The record is from RNAcentral. Lineage: Eukaryota; Fungi; Glomeromycota; Glomeromycetes; Glomerales; Glomeraceae.